RNAcentral lists this small RNA (984 nucleotides) under Pan troglodytes (chimpanzee). RNAcentral describes it as "retained intron". Lineage: Eukaryota; Metazoa; Chordata; Mammalia; Primates; Hominidae. The record is from RNAcentral.
GCGUGACCAGCGGCGGGUCAAGUGACGCGGUGCCUGGCGCCGAGCCUCCCAAGAUGGCGGUGUGCAUCGCGGUGAUUGCCAAGGAGAAUUACCCCCUCUACAUUCGCAGCACCCCUACGGAGAACGAGCUGAAGUUCCACUACAUGGUGCACACAUCUCUGGACGUGGUGGAUGAGAAGAUCUCCGCAAUGGGGAAGGCCCUGGUCGACCAGAGGGAGCUGUACCUGGGCCUGCUCUACCCCACGGAGGACUACAAGGUGUAUCUUUCAGGGCAGGGUGUGUGUCAGGGAGGACCUACAGUUGCAAGAUGUACUUUAGGAUCAGAUAACUUGAAACCUUUUAGAAGAAAAAUAAAGAGGUGAGAGUUUUUAGCCAGCCAGGGAAUUAGGGUAGCCUGAGGUGAAUGAAGGCCUGUAACUCUUCUCUUUCAUUGGAAGAGCCAUUUGGUAAAAGCAAGGCUAGAAUUCCCCGUAGAAUGUUUUGGUUUGCACAUGUCCGUUGUCUGGUUUGCAGAGGAACUGGGACACUUCUGCUUUGUACCUGCAAGGAUUUCUUUCUGUGCUUUUCAGGGGGAGCCACCACCUUUGAGCAGCGGAUAAUAGUUUCAUUUAUUUCAUUAGGCCUUGCCUCGUAUGUCACUAGACACUCGUCUAGUCCCUUGGGACAAAUCACUUGAGGCCAUGGAGUUCGAAGACCUUCCCAAAAGUCAUAAUGUAGCCUGUCCAUGGUGACAUUUGCUAGUAGCCACUAUUUUACAAAAUAAUGUGGCCUCUAGAGAGGGGAUCCGCCUUGUUCACGAAGCCUCUGGUUUUGCAGUUAACUUUCCGGGCCAGGCAUUGAUUCAUAAAGAGGGUGAGGUGUUCCAGACAGACAGACUCAGAGUCUAGGUGGUUCGGCUCCUGGAGUGUGAACUGGGUAAGGCUUGGCUGCCUGCUCUUUGCUUCUCCUGCAAACACCAGACGUCGCCCUAGCAAAGUAUUUAGG